Molecule: long non-coding RNA, 1312 nt
Filed under: Piliocolobus tephrosceles (Ugandan red Colobus)
Lineage: Eukaryota; Metazoa; Chordata; Mammalia; Primates; Cercopithecidae
Description: lncRNA (ENSPTEG00000012930.1)
Source: RNAcentral
AGGAAUAGAAUCAUGUAGGAAAAAAAUUUUCGGGUAUGUUCAAAAUCUGCCAGGAGAGAAGAACUGGGUUAAGCCAUUGAUGGGUAAACAAAUGCAAAAUUAUUACUUUCCUUCUAAGUAUUUACACUUAGAUUUUAAUUUAAAAGAAUACUUAAGAAUGCAAACUGUUCGUUUUAAAAAAAAAGAGACUGAUAAUGGUUUAUUAAAUUUACAAAAGUGUAUAAAUAUAAUUAUUGAAAAUAAAAAUUCCAUAGAUUCUUUUUUUUCGAAAAUUUCAAAAAAUUUGCUUAUGGAAAAUCAAAGCUUAAAAAAUUUAUAUUCGUUGUAUUUAACUAUUUUUCCAACAGUUAAGCUAAAACAUAAAUUAUCAGAUGACGACAUGAAAGAAUUAAAUUUACAAAAUGAAAAUUUCAGUUGGUUCGAUUUCGGUUUAAAUUUAAAAGAGGAACAAAAUAUACAACCGUUUAAAGAAAGGGUUAAAAAUGAAGAUAUAUAUACAGGUGAUAAACACAUGAAUAACAUGAGUUUAAGUCAUAAUAAUAAUAAAGAAGAUAUAUUGGAUAUACAGAAAGUAAACGUAUUAAAUAAAAACACUAUCCAAAACGAAAAACAUGUGGACGAUUACAAAGAAAUAGAUAUGAGCAGGAAUCCUAUCGAAGAAAGUUAUGCAAAUAGCACUGACGAUACACGCAACAGUGGAUAUAAAAGCAUCAUUUACACAAAAACAAAAAAAUGCUUACAAUUUAAAAAGAUAAUAUGGAAAGAGCAAAGGGGUAAGGUAAAUGUUAUGAAACACCCCAAAUUAAAUGACGAACCAAUUUAUUAUCUAGACUGUAAUAUAAAUAUAGGUUUAGAAGAAAAAAAAAAAGAAAAUGAAAAAGAAAUAAAAGAAAAAGAAGAAGCAAAAAAGCAAUUAUUAAAUUUAUUAAAUGAAAAUGAAAACUUAAAAAAAACAUUUUCAAUAAGGAAUAGAUUCAUAGACCCUUUAUAUCUAAGGAGAAGAUAUUCCUUUAUUGAUAAGUUAACUAAAAAGAAAAUUAAAAAAGAAAAGCAUGUGACGUACAGAAAACACUUUAUUCAACAUGCGGAUGAAAAAAAAGUAUGGCCAGAUAAUCAAGGGUUAUUAAAUAAAAUAUAUCCAAACCCGUACUCAUGAAAUGGCUUUUUUUUUUUUAUUAUUUUUAUUUUUAAACAUGUAGAAUUUAAUUAUUAUAUGUUGUAAAUAUGUUUUGCUUUUGUUUUUGUUUUUGUUUUUUAUAAUGCAUCACAUGAGCCAUUUUGGUUGAAGGUUUUUAUUUUUGCUUAUCAUGCC